GGCAAGGCCUGUCGACUUCCUUAGAAAGACAUGACGCUUCAUAAUUGCGCAUGUGUGGUCUGACCUUCUGGAAAUAGAUACCAGUUAUUAAUAUAAAAAUAUUUUGUUACAGCAACAUUGCUCCUAUCUAACUUUGUCUAUUCAACUUUGGGAACAAAUAAAAUCAUUUUUAUCAAAUAUUUUGAUUUAUGUCACACUACCAUAUGUAAAUUAUUAUUAUUUUAUAUAAAUUAUUACCUAUUUCAGUUUGUCUUAGUCUAUGUUCAUAAAAUCUAUGGAGGUCAGAGGCACAUAUACCCUCCAUAAAGCCUUGCACUUGGGUCUGGCCGGUUAGAACAUAGACAAAAGUCUGCAAUGUCAAUGCUGUCAAAGUCAUUGACGCAAAACUAUUUUUAUUUUCAAAACUAUCAGUUUUCAUAUAAAAUGAUUAAAUAAUGAUUUAUGUUGUUGAAAUAGAUUUAUUGAUUAAUUUUUAAAAUUAAAAAUCCACCGCACAGUAUCUCCGCUCAGACUCGGUUAAAAUUUAAUCCAUUGUACUAAACUAAGAAACAACAAUUAUUUCAAGAGGGUGAACGUGAGCAAAAAAUCCUUGGGCGUCAUAUCAUUUCCUUGGAAAGGCUCAAAAUCAAAAGGCACGGAUCCGCCACAUAAUUGUGACUAGUUGUAGUUUCCCGGUGACCAUCAACAAGACCGCUGCACUGAGCUGUGGAGCAGAAAGUGUCCGACAAUCGGAUAGAUGUAAUAACAACUUUGUCUGUCAUAUAUUCAUGUAAUUUUUAGUUUUUUGGGCUGAUAUAUGUGAUAUGAUUACAAGUUACACUAAUUGCAAUUGUGGAGUAAAAUCAGAUGUGCCAAAGAUCAUGUUUUAGAUAUAUAAAAAGCUAUAUUAAAUGCAAUAAAUAGUAUAUGUAUAUAUAUAAAA
This is a long non-coding RNA of Cydia pomonella (codling moth), 922 nucleotides long. RefSeq lists it as uncharacterized. Lineage: Eukaryota; Metazoa; Arthropoda; Insecta; Lepidoptera; Tortricidae. The transcript has 2 exons. The record is from RefSeq and is a predicted model, not a curated record.